CCCCGAGCUUAACUUGGGAACUGCGUUUUGAACUGGUAAGCUAGAGUAUGUCAGAGGGGGGUAGAAUUNCACGUGUAGCAGUGAAAUGCGUAGAGAUGUGGAGGAAUACCGAUGGCGAAGGCAGCCCCCUGGGAUAAUACUGACGUUCAUGCUCGAAAGCGUGGGUAGCAAACGGGAUUAGAUACCCUGGUAGUCCACGCCCUAAACGAUGUCAAUUAGCUGUUGGGGCACUUGAUGCCUUAGUAGCGAAGCUAACGCGUGAAAUUGACCGCCUGGGGAGUACGGUCGCAAGAUUAAAACUCAAAGGAAUUGACGGGGACCCGCACAAGCGGUGGAUGAUGUGGAUUAAUUCGAUGCAACGCGAAGAACCUUACCUGGUCUUGACAUGUACGGAAUCUUCCAGAGACGGAAGAGUGCCUUCGGGAGCCGUAACACAGGCGCUGCAUGGCUGUCGUCAGCUCGUGUCGUGAGAUGUUGGGUUAGGUCCCGCGACGAGCGCAACCCUUGUCAUUAGUUGCCACCAUUCAGUUGGGCACUCUAAUGAGACUGCCGGUGACAAACCGGAGGAAGGUGGGGAUGACGUCAAGUCCUCAUGGCCCUUAUGACCAGGGCUUCACACGUCAUACAAUGGUCGGUACAGAGGGUAGCCAAGCCGCGAGGUGGAGCCAAUCUCAGAAAACCGAUCGUAGUCCGGAUUGCACUCUGCAACUCGAGUGCAUGAAGUCGGAAUCGCUAGUAAUCGCAGGUCAGCAUACUGCGGUGAAUACGUUCCCGGGUCUUGUACACACCGCCCGUCACACCAUGGGAGUGGGGGAUACCAGAAGUAGGUAGGCUAACCGCAAGGAGGC
Molecule: ribosomal RNA, 848 nt
Filed under: uncultured bacterium
Lineage: Bacteria
Description: bacterial SSU rRNA
Rfam family: Bacterial small subunit ribosomal RNA
Source: RNAcentral